GAAAGAAUCAUUGAUGCAGACUGUGCGGAUCACAAAUACUCCCUAACCUGUAAGGCUGGGGUGUCCAAACUUUUUUCACUGAGGGCUACUUACUAGAAAUUAGAUAUCAGACUGCAAAGAGCGCUACAGAGAGUCAACAUUUCACCAGUUGUCAGUGGGAACAGCAUGAUGUAAAUACAAGACGGGCCCUCGUCCUUCGUGCACUUCCUGUGUACCUGCGUGAAGAUGCCUCCACGUUAUUCAGGACUUGUGAUUCAGCAGAUGGUCCAGACCUCACUGACACUCCUGUGGCUCUGCUGACAGUUGUCACGGAUGACACUACUGAUUCGGCCCUCUUCAGUCCCGAAAGCAUCUGCAUUGUCGUUGAGGAUGAAAUACUUGUGAAUGGUCCCAC
Long non-coding RNA from Astatotilapia calliptera (eastern happy), 394 nucleotides. The record is from Ensembl. Lineage: Eukaryota; Metazoa; Chordata; Actinopteri; Cichliformes; Cichlidae.